This 424-nucleotide ribosomal RNA is filed under the name uncultured bacterium. RNAcentral describes it as "bacterial SSU rRNA". It matches the Rfam family "Bacterial small subunit ribosomal RNA", at positions 355 to 772 of the family's 1533-position model. The record is from RNAcentral.
CAAGGAAUUUUCCACAAUGGGCGCAAGCCUGACGCAGCAACGCCGCGUGCGGGAAGAAGGCCUUCGGGUCGUAAACCGCUUUCAGGAGGGACGAAGCUUCCGAGGUUAAUAGCCUACGGGGUGACGGUACCUCCCGAAGAAGGCCCGGCUAACUACGUGCCAGCAGCCGCGGUGAUACGUAGGGUCCGAGCGUUGUCCGGAAUCAUUGGGCGUAAAGAGCGUGUAGGCGGCUUGGUAGGUCCCGUGUUAAAGCCUGCGGCUCAACCGCAGAAUCGCACGGGAAACCCCCUGGCUAGAGUCCGGAAGAGGAGAGCGGAAUUCCUGGUGUAGCGGUGAAAUGCGCAGAUAUCAGGAAGAACACCCGUGGCGAAGGCGGCUCUCUGGGACGGUACUGACGCUGAGACGCGAAAGCGUGGGGAGCGAA